CUGUUAUUUAUUUUACAGUAACAAAUAAAUUAAACUUCAUAAUAAGAAAAGAAAUCAGCUAUUUCAAGAACGCUUGGACAAUUUGGUAUAUGUGAAGUACAAUAGAGCGUUGCUACGUCGACACACUUUUGGGGAUAUCACAACACCUAUUGNNNNNNNNNNNUGAUGAGAGUAAUGAAUGGUUGCUUGGUGAAUUAGAAAAAGGUGAUGGGGAUGAUGAUGAUGAUGAUUCUCUUGUUUUCAUGAAUGACGUAUUGACCUGGGGUGAUGUUGGUAGAGCAGCUGGAGUUUCUGAAUCUCGUUAUGAAUCGAGAUCGGCUGCAAGAUCAACACCACCAGUUGAAACUCCAUCAUUUCGAAGGCCUCGUGCAAUGAGAGGUGCAUCCUCUUCGCAAGUUGAUGAUGAUGAAAAGGAGGAAGAAUUUGUGAUGGCCGUUGUUGAAAAUGAAGAUGAUUUUGGAAAUCUU
This 467-nucleotide unclassified non-coding RNA is filed under the name Hevea brasiliensis (rubber tree). Lineage: Eukaryota; Viridiplantae; Streptophyta; Magnoliopsida; Malpighiales; Euphorbiaceae. The record is from RNAcentral.